RNAcentral lists this ribosomal RNA (401 nucleotides) under uncultured Methanomicrobiales archaeon. Its description in RNAcentral is "bacterial SSU rRNA". It matches the Rfam family "Archaeal small subunit ribosomal RNA", at positions 938 to 1338 of the family's 1478-position model. Lineage: Archaea; Methanobacteriati; Methanobacteriota; Methanomicrobia; Methanomicrobiales. The record is from RNAcentral.
GACAGCUGAAUGAUAGUCGGGCUGAAGAUCUACUUGACUAGCUGAGAGGAGGUGCAUGGCCGUCGUCAGUUCGUACUGUGAAGCAUCCUGUUAAGUCAGGCAACGAGCGAGACCCACGCCAACAGUUGCCAGCUCGUCCUCCGGGGAUGGUGGGGACACUGUUGGGACCGCCUCUGCUAAAGAGGAGGAAGGAAUGGGCAACGGUAGGUCAGCAUGCCCCGAAUUAUCUGGGCUACACGCGGGCUACAAUGGGUGGGACAAUGGGUAUCGACACCGAAAGGUGAAGGCAAUCUCCUAAACCCAUCCGUAGUUCGGAUUGUGGGCUGCAACUCGCCCACAUGAAGCUGGAAUGCGUAGUAAUCGCGUGUCAUAAUCGCGCGGUGAAUACGUCCCUGCUCCUU